Long non-coding RNA from Pseudophryne corroboree (corroboree frog), 301 nucleotides. RefSeq lists it as uncharacterized. The transcript is spliced from 3 exons. Lineage: Eukaryota; Metazoa; Chordata; Amphibia; Anura; Myobatrachidae. The record is from RefSeq and is a predicted model, not a curated record.
CUGCAGAGUCACAAUAACACAAAGAAAGGUGGGAUGUACGGAGAAUAGGAACUUAAUGUCACAACGCUGUGGUGUAGACAGAAGGCUAAUAAUGGCAUACAACUGGAUCAACUCUCGGACGAUGGAUAUUCUGGAUAUAACAGGUUGGGUAUCCCAUAUCCAAAUAUCCGAAAUACGGAAUAUUCCGAAAUACGGACUUUUUUGAGUGAGAGUGAGAUAGUGAAACUUUUGUUUUUUGAUGGCUCAAUGUACACAAACCUUGUUUAAUACACAAAGUUAUUAAAAUAUUGUAUUAAAUGAC